AAGUCGUAACAAGGUUUCCGUAGGUGAACCUGCGGAAGGAUCAUUACCGUGCCAGGGGGCCCUCCGGGGUCCCGUUGUGCCACCCGUGUUUACUUGUACCUGUUGCUUCGGCGGGCCUGCGGGCCUCGCUCGCUGCCGGGGGACCUGGUCCCCGGGCGCGUGCCCGCCGGAGACACACCAAACCUCUCUAACGGAUACGUCUGAGCAAAUGAUCUAAUCAUUAAAACUUUCAACAACGGAUCUCUUGGUUCCCA
This 254-nucleotide unclassified non-coding RNA is filed under the name [Chrysosporium] lobatum. Its description in RNAcentral is "Chrysosporium lobatum partial internal transcribed spacer region". The stretch from base 1 to 46 matches the Rfam family "Eukaryotic small subunit ribosomal RNA", at positions 1786 to 1831 of the family's 1831-position model. The record is from RNAcentral. Lineage: Eukaryota; Fungi; Ascomycota; Eurotiomycetes; Onygenales; Onygenaceae.